Molecule: ribosomal RNA, 947 nt
Filed under: Cortinarius sp. PDD 103643
Lineage: Eukaryota; Fungi; Basidiomycota; Agaricomycetes; Agaricales; Cortinariaceae
Description: eukaryotic LSU rRNA
Rfam family: Eukaryotic large subunit ribosomal RNA
Source: RNAcentral
UAAGCAUAUCAAUAAGCGGAGGAAAAGAAACUAACAAGGAUUCCCCUAGUAACUGCGAGUGAAGCGGGAAAAGCUCAAAUUUAAAAUCUGUCAGUCUUUGGCUGUCCGAAUUGUAAUCUAGAGAAGUGUUAUCCGCGCUGGACCGUGUACAAGUCUCCUGGAAUGGAGCGUCAUAGAGGGUGAGAAUCCCGUCUUUGGCACGGACUGCCAGGGCUUUUGUGAUACGCUCUCAAAGAGUCGAGUUGUUUGGGAAUGCAGCUCAAAAUGGGUGGUAAAUUCCAUCUAAAGCUAAAUAUUGGCGAGAGACCGAUAGCGAACAAGUACCGUGAGGGAAAGAUGAAAAGAACUUUGGAAAGAGAGUUAAACAGUACGUGAAAUUGCUGAAAGGGAAACGCUUGAAGUCAGUCGCGUUGUCCAGGGAUCAACCUUGCUUUUGCUUGGUGUACUUUCUGGUUAACGGGUCAGCAUCAAUUUUGACCAUUGGAAAAAGAUCAAGGGAAUGUGGCAUCUUCGGAUGUGUUAUAGCCCUUGGUUGCAUACAAUGGUUGGGAUUGAGGAACUCAGCACGCCGCAAGGCCGGGUUUUUUAAACCACGUACGUGCUUAGGAUGCUGGCAAAAUGGCUUUAAUCGACCCGUCUUGAAACACGGACCAAGGAGUCUAACAUGCCUGCGAGUGUUUGGGUGGAAAACCCGAGCGCGUAAUGAAAGUGAAAGUUGAGAUCCCUGUCGUGGGGAGCAUCGACGCCCGGACCAGACCUUUUGUGACGGUUCCGCGGUAGAGCAUGUAUGUUGGGACCCGAAAGAUGGUGAACUAUGCCUGAAUAGGGUGAAGCCAGAGGAAACUCUGGUGGAGGCUCGUAGCGAUUCUGACGUGCAAAUCGAUCGUCAAAUUUGGGUAUAGGGGCGAAAGACUAAUCGAACCAUCUAGUAAGCUGGUUCCUGCCGA